CGCAAUGAAAUGCUGCAUUUUUCUACAUUUGAUAACCAUGGUACAUCCAAUACAUUUUCCAAGCAACUUGCAUUACUACUCUCUUCUGGAUCGCUCAAAUAAGAAUCUAAAUCACCACAGAGUAUCGAUGAUAUUUCACUUGACAACAGUUUUGAUGAUUCCCCAUAGUCAGCAGCAGACUUAAAGUUGAAACUUUCAGCAGCUAUUUCACUGAGAGACUUAGAAGAAUCAUUAGAGGGUUUAGAAGAUGGAGAUCCAUAUUGUUUUAGGGCAACACCAUUGGCUGAAGUUGAAGGGGAAACAGGUUUCCAUUGCUUUGAUAAUUUAGUAGCGGCACGGAACAAAGAUGUUAGGGUUUUG
This 360-nucleotide unclassified non-coding RNA is filed under the name Hevea brasiliensis (rubber tree). Lineage: Eukaryota; Viridiplantae; Streptophyta; Magnoliopsida; Malpighiales; Euphorbiaceae. The record is from RNAcentral.